GGUUAGCUCAGUGGGUAGAGUGUGUGCCUCACACGCACGACACCCUGGGUUCAGCCCCCAGCACCA
RNAcentral lists this transfer RNA (66 nucleotides) under Ictidomys tridecemlineatus (thirteen-lined ground squirrel). RNAcentral's name for it is "Spermophilus tridecemlineatus (thirteen-lined ground squirrel) tRNA". It matches the Rfam family "tRNA". Rfam says of the family: Transfer RNA (tRNA) molecules are approximately 80 nucleotides in length. Their secondary structure includes four short double-helical elements and three loops (D, anti-codon, and T loops). Lineage: Eukaryota; Metazoa; Chordata; Mammalia; Rodentia; Sciuridae. The record is from Rfam by way of RNAcentral.